Equus caballus (horse) is the source of this 5723-nucleotide long non-coding RNA. The record is from Ensembl. NCBI's taxonomy places the organism in Eukaryota, Metazoa, Chordata, Mammalia, Perissodactyla, Equidae.
CCUGUAUCUUUCUAAGAUUGUACGUAGAGGAGGUAAAAUUCUUGAGUCCUUGAAUGUUUGGAAAUUUCUUCAUUCUACUUUUAUACUUGACUGAUGAUUUGGCUGAGUGUAGACUCUGGGUUGUAAACCAUUUUCUCUUAAUAUUGCUUCAUUGACUCUUAGCAUUUAGUGUUGCUUUCCAAAGUCUAAGGCCAUUUUCUUUCUCUAUCCUUUGUAUGUAAGCAGUUCUUAUCUGAUUGGUUGGUUAGUUUUUGUCUGUUUCUCUUGUUUCUCUCUGUUAAGUUUUGAAGUUCUGCUCCCCAUUCCCGAUAUUCUGAAAUUCAAUGGUAACACGCUUUUGUGUAAGUCUUUACUCGCCCAAGUCAUUGCAUUGGAUACUCAGUGGGUAGUUUUAAUUUAGAAGCUCAUGCCUUUGAUUCUGGGAAAUUUGCUGCAUAAUGGCGUGGAUAACUCUCUGCUCGGUUUUCUCUCUUUCUCCCCCUCCUCCCAUCUACCCCCACAAAGAACUCCUUUUAGUCAGAUCUUCUUUCUCCUCCUAAAUUCAUCCUCUAAUUUUUAAUCUUCUCUCUCCUGUUGCCAUUCUUUUGCUCUUUGGUUUUUAUUCUGUGAUGAUUCCUAAACCUCACCUUCAAACUUUUUUAAUGAUAUUUUUAAAAAUUUCAGUGGUCAUACUUUUUCUCAUUAUAGAACCCUUUCUUGUUCUCUAGGUGCACCUUUUCUCUAGAUAUAGUAUCUUCUCAUUCAAGCAUACAAUAAAAGUCCUUUUAAAAUUAUUCUUUUCUUAUGAUUCUGGUAAUAUCUCUGCUUUUUCUGAGGAUGCUUUCUGUUUAUUGUCGACUGAGAAUUUCCUGUUGGAGGCUUUCUUCGGUGUCUGGUGCUCAUUGGCCAUUGGUUUGUAUAUAAUUGCAAGGCAAUAAAAAGCUGACUGGGAACCAUGGGGGUGGGGUUAGGGUAGGAGAGAAGGGAAGCUUAUCAACAAAUAGACUACACUCUUGCAAGUCAGCCUUUUCACUGGGAGUAAUACACUUCUCUCCUUCCUCCCAAAUAUUGAUAUCUAUUGGUAUUUUCUCUGGAACCAAUCUGUUUCUCCACGGAAGAUUCUCGAAUCUCUGGCCUGGGAAGAGGCAGGGGUCCAGUUAAUGGUAUCCUCAGAACAGCCAGGGAGUGGGGGUUAGGAGAGGGAUCUACUGUUUUAGGAUCCAAGUUUUACCUAAUCCUUUUGUUUCCAGGAAGCCUUGCCCCCUGCUCUUCACUUUCCUGGUGUCACUGAGUUCAGAGUUUCUAGGGUGCAACUGCUUUGCCAAAUAGACCUCUUAUGUCCUACAAGAGUGAGAGAGCAACGAUCAUCUGACCAACAGGGUGGGAAGGGGCUCUGGCUGUCUAACUGUUCUGUAUACUGUCUUAGCCAGAUCCCUUUUCAGCCUGGCGCCUCAUGUUUGCCUUUUUUGGGAAGUAGGGCCUCCAAAUCCCAGCCCUUUCUGGGAUGCUCUAGAGUUAACGGGCUGUCUCACUUCAAUAUCUGUUCUCAGGCACUCAGGGUUCAACGUCUGCCCUGUUCGCUCAUUUCUAAUCUAUCUUCCAAAAAUUUGAUAAUAUUCCCUGUAUCAGCUCGUUCCUCCUCUCCUAUUCUCUUUUUCUGUAUGUGUUUGUCUCUUUAUAUAAACCAUGGUUGUCAUUUGGGGCUAGUGUUUUGAAAGGGAAUCGAGAUAAAUACACCCAUAUUUGGUCCAUUAGGCUUACCUGAAAACCUCUGCCAGAGUGACUUUCUAAAAUGAAGAUUUGGCCCUCUCGUGCUUCCUGGACCCCAAAUCCUUCCAAGCCUGGUCAUAACUUUCUGUACGAGAUGAAUAUGGUUUAGCUUAGCAGACAAAGACUCCAUGAUCAGGUGCCUGCCUGCCUCUCAAGAUUUAUCACCAAUUGCCUACGUAGAUGAGGCCAGUGGGAUUGCCUGUCUCCCACCGGCCUUUGUGGAAUCGCUCCUCUGUGCCAUACUCCCGUCAGCAUGGCUGCAGGCAGAUCUGUAUUUUUCCUAAAUUUGACCUUCUUCCCCUGGUCACUGCUGACUGACUCAAGCUGGGCCAGUUAAUCCAUUCCCUAGAUUUUGAGAACCUGCAAAAUUCACUGCCUGUAAUAGCUAUGCUGUAUAUUCUAUGAAUCUGCAAAGCAGAAAGCUUGUUUGGAGAGAAAGAAGGAAAGACUUUCCUAAUGAGAGUCUUGAUUCUCUGCUUCAGAAUCAUUUCUUCAUCCAGCUGAGCCCUGACUUCUGACAGGCACCUUUCUGUGCCCCUCAGAGAUGGUAGAAAAGCAGAGCUUCAUUCCAGUGAGAAAGAUACUAAAGAAAUGAACAGCUAACAAAUAAACCAGAUAUUGUAACGAGUCUUCAGGAACAGAAUGGACUCCCACCCAAAAAUUGGCUCAAAUGUUGAAAGUGAUGAUGCCACACAGACACCAACAAGACUCCGCGAUGUUAAUGUGUCCGGCCUAGAUUGUCCUCUGGGGGAAGCCUAACCUCACACCCUACCUGCAGCCCUGCUGGGCUCACGAGGACUCUGGCACGGCAAGAAGUGCUUCCCCGAAGCGAAAGUUACCAAGCCAAAAACUCAGUGAGAGGCGCCUCUGAAGGAAAAACAGAGUGGAAAAUGAAACCUUGUUCCAAAACUUAUUUCUUAUUGUGGACAAGGAAGUUGUUCAAAAAAUUCAGUAGUCACUUCUAAAGCAAGAGCAUCGAAAUCAAAACAUUAAGUUAAUCAAGAAACCUAGAAGUGCAAGAAUUAUGGAAGGAAAUAAAAAAAAAAAUUCAGCUGGAACACACCUAACCUGCAGCGUGGUCUUCAUUGACCCUGCUUCAGCCAUUUUGCUCAGAUUAAAUUUUCCACAAGCGACUGUCCUGCCCCAUUGGGCUUCUUUCAUUUUCAGACCUGUGUUCUCCACGGGACCUGCAGAGAGAGAAGAGCUGUGAGAGGAGCAGUUAGGCAAAACAGUAUAAAUAUAGGCAAUGACCUUUCCUAAAAACCCUAGCUAAAGUUCUGUCUCCAUUUGGGACCCAGUGUUUGAAAAAGCACUUGUGGUUGUUGGUUUGGAUAAAGGGAUGAAGCUGAAAUACAAUUAUAAAGACAAACUGAUGAGGGAAACACAAGUUAAAAGAUACAGCUGGUUUCACCAUUAAUAGCCUUUGGAAAUGUUGUGGUUUCUUUUCUCCAGUCGUUUUCUCUGCCACUUAAUGAGAGCCCAUUAUAUAUAAAAUUUUUCAUACUGCUUUUCACUAAGCAUUGUAACAUAAGCACAUUCCCAUGCCAUCAAAACCUUUCUGCAAACCUAAUUUGUAAUAUCUUCAUUAUAUUCCACUGUGUGAAUAUAAUAUAAUUUAUUUGACCAUUCUGCUCCUGUUUAACAUUCAGAUUGUUUCCAGUUUUUUGGCGUAUCAAGUAUCUGUUGCUCUGUAGCUAUCUAAUCCUUAGGGGAUAGCAUCCUAAAGCUUAAGAUGGCUUAAGACUGCAUUUCUUUAUUAUUUCUCAUGCUUCUGUUGUGUAACUGUGUGGGUCCUACUGGUUUACCUGGGCUCGCACAAGCAAUUGCUCUCAGUUGGAGGGUCAGCUGAGCUUGAAGAUCCAAGAUGGCCACAUUCACGUUUCUGGCAGUUGGUGCUGGCUGAGCACUGGGAUGCCUCCACCUCAAUGUCGUUCGUCCUCCUGUCAGCUACACUGGCUUUCUUACUUGGGGGCCUCAGGGUGGCAUGCCAAGACGGCCAAGAAAGCUCCAAGACCUCUUGAGAUCUGGGCUUUAAAACUAGUAAAACUUCACUUCUACCACAUUCUUUUGCUCAAGGCACAUCACAAGGCCAAUCCAAAAUCAAGGGAUGGAAAAACAGGCUCUACCUCUGGAUAGCAGGAGCAUCGAGGUUACCUUACGAGGGAACAUGCGUGGCAGGAUGUAAGGGAUUUAUGGCCGCUAGUCCACCACAAGGGGUUGCUAUGCAAUAUGCUGCAAUGAACAUCUCUAUAAAUUAAGCUUUAUAUGGUAGAGUCUAAAACAUUGUUUCCUUUGAAUCAACCCUUAGAAUUUGAUUUAUCAGGACAAAAGAUAAGAUGCAUUUUUAAGGUUCUUGAUACAAAGGCUCUUACUUUCUAGAAUGUACUUGGAUGGCUCUUUGCCACCUCUGCUUUCUAAGACAGGAAAUUUAAUUGGCCAACUUCAAAUAAAAAAGUUAAUUAUAAUGUCCCAUCAGAAUUAAAGGCAAGGUUCUUUUCUAAAGGAAUAAAGCAGUGCAGUGGCAAUGAGUUGGAUUUUUCUGUGUCUGAUUACGAAUAACGUUCUCCUUGGCAUAAAUGAAAUCUUGGAUGAGGAGUUGGAGGCAGACCAGAUUUCAGAUCCAUCUACCAAACAAAUCCCUUCUGAUUUGAAUGUAUGAAUUUGUUGAGAUUUCCUGAUGGCUAACAAUAUGCCUUCAUGUUAGCAAUGACAAAAAAACUAAUAGCUGGGCACAGUAUUAAAAAAAGGCCUCUUUUUCAUGUAAUUGAAUUCUUCAAUCUUGCACUGCAUUCAUUGAGAAGAACUCUUGGGAUGAAUUUCUUUGAAAUCUCUGCUACUGAUUUUAUUUUCUGAUAUGUUGACCUUCAUCUCGAGACAUGUUGCAAGAUUGGCAGGCUUCGUUUUCUGUGCAUCAGAUACAGGGAAAGCUGUGUUAAGGCUCCUGCCAUUGAAAUUUAUUCAGUGUGGAUGCUAAUGAAGAAUUUUAAAGUGAUCUAGUCUGAUUCUCUCCUCUUUUUCUCAUUUCUGUGCAAGGGGGAGAAAUAACAUCUCCUUAGCAAAGAGAACUAAAAAAUAAUGACCACAUCUCUCAUUCAGAACUUGGUCUGGUGUUCAGCUCACUCUGUUUGUUCUAUUUUGAGAAGCAAACUAUAAAUCUGUAUCAAGAAUGGUGAUUAUUAUUUUUAUUAUUAGAGAAUGGAUAAAUUUCUUACUGGUAAUUGCCCUGUCUAAAUGUUCUCCACAUGCAUCAAUUUUUACAAUGUAUUUAUUUACCUUUUAUUAGGCAUCUCAAUGUGAAAAAUACCGAGCUAGGCAUUGGCAAUGCAGAUAUGAAUUAGUUAUGGCCCCUUCUGUCAAAGCAACUCACAGUCAAGUAUAAGGGUGGACAUGAACCAAACUGACCCAGAUAAGCAUAAAAUCGCACCUUAAAAAGUACUCAAAAUAAAAAUGAAUGAAAGAGACAAUGUCUUCCAUCUAGCCAGUAAAUAUAAUGAGGAGUACAUUCUUGAUUCAACAUAAUGUCUAUAACACGUUUGCCAUAAUCUUUAACUCCCUUGCCUCUCUUACUUUUCAUCACAUGCAUCUGGAAAAACCCCAGUCUGGAAUAAACCAAACCAAUCUUUGACCUGGUGUUUGUGCCUGCACAGGUGGCUGGAGGAUCACUUCAGUGGGCAACCUGGCAUGAGCACCAAUCUCAAAAAGACUUGCAUCCCACUCAAUCUCUCUUCAAUUCAUUGUCUCACCCUCUACAGUAAACAUUUCCAACUCUCUCUACUCUCCAUGGACCCCCAACUCCUUCCCAACCUCCCUCCAUCACCUAUGACUCUCAGCAAAUGACUGCCUCCGACUUUACCUGCAAAGUAAAUCCGUGAAAUGAGAACUCCUGCCACUUUCUUCUCACUAACUGGGCAAACCUCCCUCCGUGUGCACACUCCAUUUCAACAACAUAAUCGAGUCCUUUUAGUCCCUUUGCC